CANUAGUGAUUGGGGAAUUUUCCGCNAUGGGCGNAAGCCUGACGGAGCAAUACCGCGUGAGGGAGGAAGGCUCUUGGGUUGUAAACCCCUUUUCUCAGGGAAUAAGAAACUGAAGGUACCUGAGGAAUCAGCAUCGGCUAACUCCGUGCCAGCAGCCGCGGUAAUACGGAGGAUGCAAGCGUUAUCCGGAAUGAUUGGGCGUAAAGCGUCCGCAGGUGGUUUAUCAAGUCUGCUGUCAAAGAGUUUGGCUCAACCAAAUAAAGGCAGUGGAAACUGACAGACUGGAGUGCGGUAAGGGCAGAGGGAAUUCCUGGUGUAGCGGUGAAAUGCGUAGAGAUCAGGAAGAACACCGGUGGCGAAAGCGCUCUGCUGGGCCGUAACUGACACUGAGGGACGAAAGCUAGGGGAGCGAAUGGGAUUAGAUACCCCAGUAGUC
Molecule: ribosomal RNA, 436 nt
Filed under: uncultured cyanobacterium
Lineage: Bacteria; Bacillati; Cyanobacteriota
Description: bacterial SSU rRNA
Rfam family: Bacterial small subunit ribosomal RNA
Source: RNAcentral